ACGCUCGACACCUACGGGAGGCAGCAGUAGGGAAUCUUCCGCAAUGGACGAAAGUCUGACGGAGCAACGCCGCGUGAACGAUGAAGGUUUUCGGAUCGUAAAGUUCUGUUGUUAGGGAAGAACAAACUUCGUUUGAAUAAGGCGGAGUCAUGACGGUACCUAACGAGAAAGCCACGGCUAACUACGUGCCCGCAGCCGCGGUAAUCUGAGCGGGCUGGCAAGGC
Molecule: ribosomal RNA, 224 nt
Filed under: uncultured bacterium
Lineage: Bacteria
Description: partial 16S ribosomal RNA
Rfam family: Bacterial small subunit ribosomal RNA
Source: RNAcentral